UGGGGAAUAUUGCACAAUUGGCGCAAGCCUGAUGCAGCCAUGCCGCGUGUAUGAAGAAGGCCUUCGGGUUGUAAAGUACUUUCAGCGGGGAGGAAGGGAGUAAAGUUAAUACCUUUGCUCAUUGACGUUACCCGCAGAAGAAGCACCGGCUAACUCCGUGCCAGCAGCCGCGGUAAUACGGAGGGUGCAAGCGUUAAUCGGAAUUACUGGGCGUAAAGCGCACGCAGGCGGUUUGUUAAGUCAGAUGUGAAAUCCCCGGGCUCAACCUGGGAACUGCAUCUGAUACUGGCAAGCUUGAGUCUCGUAGAGGGGGGUAGAAUUCCAGGUGUAGCGGUGAAAUGCGUAGAGAUCUGGAGGAAUACCGGUGGCGAAGGCGGCCCCCUGGACGAAGACUGACGCUCAGGUGCGAAAGCGUGGGGAGCAAACAGG
RNAcentral lists this ribosomal RNA (429 nucleotides) under Chloroflexota bacterium. RNAcentral describes it as "Chloroflexi bacterium partial 16S ribosomal RNA". It matches the Rfam family "Bacterial small subunit ribosomal RNA", at positions 355 to 776 of the family's 1533-position model. The record is from RNAcentral. Lineage: Bacteria; Bacillati; Chloroflexota.